This 119-nucleotide small RNA is filed under the name Salmonella enterica subsp. enterica. Its description in RNAcentral is "RtT sRNA". It matches the Rfam family "RtT RNA". From Rfam's summary of the family: This family represents a bacterial cis-regulatory element known as RtT RNA. The exact function of RtT is unknown although it is thought that it may be involved in changing the cellular response in relation to amino acid starvation. The record is from RNAcentral. Lineage: Bacteria; Pseudomonadati; Pseudomonadota; Gammaproteobacteria; Enterobacterales; Enterobacteriaceae.
UGUAUCGGAAGCCUGACGAGGAUGAGAACCUCCGGGGGCAAGAGGUUCGACCCGAGCGCAGCGAGAGAACGUUGCUUCAGCAACGGCCCGCAGGGCGAGCCACCCUCUAUCACCGGCAG